GACGGACGCUGGCGGCGUGCUUAACACAUGCAAGUCGAACGAUGAACUCGGAGCUUGCUCCGGUGGAUUAGUGGCGAACGGGUGAGUAACACGUGAGUAACCUGCCCUUGACUCUGGGAUAACUGCGGGAAACUGUAGCUAAUACCGGAUACGACCCUUCGCGGCAUCGCCAGGGGGUGGUAAUAAUUUCGGUCAAGGAUUGACUCGCGGCCUAUCAGCUAGUGGGUGAGGUAACGGCUUACCAAGGCGACGACGGGUAGCCGGCCUGAGAGGGUGACCGGCCACACUGGGACUGAGACACGGCCCAGACUCAUACGGGAGGCAGCAGUGGGAAUAUUGCACAAUGGGCGCAAGCCUGAUGCAGCAACGCCGCGUGAGGGAUGACGGCCUUCGGGUUGUAAACCUCUUUUAGUAGGGAAGAAGCGAAAGUGACGGUACCUGCAGAAAAAGCACCGGCUAACUACGUGCCAGCCGCCGCCGUAA
RNAcentral lists this ribosomal RNA (483 nucleotides) under uncultured bacterium. RNAcentral's name for it is "partial 16S ribosomal RNA". It matches the Rfam family "Bacterial small subunit ribosomal RNA", at positions 28 to 523 of the family's 1533-position model. The record is from RNAcentral.